RNAcentral lists this ribosomal RNA (878 nucleotides) under uncultured eukaryote. RNAcentral describes it as "SSU rRNA". It matches the Rfam family "Eukaryotic small subunit ribosomal RNA", at positions 568 to 1471 of the family's 1831-position model. The record is from RNAcentral.
CAGCAGCCGCGGUAAUUCCAGCUCCAAUAGCGUAUAUUAAAGUUGUUGCAGUUAGAACGCUCGUAGUCGGAUUUCGGGGCGGUCCGACCGGUCUGCCGAUGGGUACGCACUGGUCGGCGCGUCCUUCCUUCCGGAGACCGUGCCUACUCUUAACUGAGCGGGUGCGGGAGACGGAUCGUUUACUUUGAAAAAAUCAGAGUGUUUCAAGCAGGCAGCUCGCUCUUGCAUGGAUUAGCAUGGGAUAAUGAAAUAGGACUUUGGUGCUAUUUUGUUGGUUUCGAACACCGAAGUAAUGAUUAACAGGGACAGUCAGGGGCACUCGUAUUCCGCCGAGAGAGGUGAAAUUCUUAGACCAGCGGAAGACGAACUACUGCGAAAGCAUUUGCCAGGGAUGUUUUCACUGAUCAAGAACGAAAGUUAGGGGAUCGAAGAGGAUCAGAUACCCUCGUAGUCUUAACCAUAAACCAUGCCGACUAGGGAUUGGGGGAUGUUCACAUAUCGACUCCCUCAGCACCUUACGGGAAACUAAAGUCUUUGGGUUCCGGGGGGAGUAUGGUCGCAAGGCUGAAACUUAAAGGAAUUGACGGAAGGGCACCACCAGGUGUGGAGCCUGCGGCUUAAUUUGACUCAACACGGGGAAACUUACCAGGUCCAGACAUUGUGAGGAUUGACAGAUUGAGAGCUCUUUCUUGAUUCGAUGGGUGGUGGUGCAUGGCCGUUCUUAGUUGGUGGAGUGAUUUGUCUGGUUAAUUCCGUUAACGAACGAGACCUUAGCCUGCUAAAUAGUGACGCGAACACUUCGUUGGCGGUCCACUUCUUAGAGGGACAACUUGUCUUCAACAAGUGGAAGUUUGAGGCAAUAACAGGUCUGUGAUGCC